RNAcentral lists this ribosomal RNA (826 nucleotides) under Drechmeria balanoides. Its description in RNAcentral is "eukaryotic LSU rRNA". It matches the Rfam family "Eukaryotic large subunit ribosomal RNA", at positions 74 to 930 of the family's 3401-position model. The record is from RNAcentral. Lineage: Eukaryota; Fungi; Ascomycota; Sordariomycetes; Hypocreales; Ophiocordycipitaceae.
AUUGCCCCAGUAACGGCGAGUGAAGCGGCAACAGCUCAAAUUUGAAAUCUGGCCCCCAGGGCCCGAGUUGUAAUUUGCAGAGGAUGCUUUUGGCGCGGCGCCUUCCGAGUUCCCUGGAACGGGACGCCACAGAGGGUGAGAGCCCCGUCUGGUCGGACGCCUAGCCUGUGUAAAGCUCCUUCGACGAGUCGAGUAGUUUGGGAAUGCUGCUCUAAAUGGGAGGUAUAUGUCUUCUAAAGCUAAAUAUUGGCCAGAGACCGAUAGCGCACAAGUAGAGUGAUCGAAAGAUGAAAAGCACUUUGAAAAGAGGGUUAAACAGUACGUGAAAUUGUUGAAAGGGAAGCGCUCGUCACCAGACUUGCGCCCGGCGGAUCAUCCGGCGUUCUCGCCGGUGCACUCCGCCGGGCGCAGGCCAGCAUCAGUUCGCCGCGGGGGACAAAGGCGGCGGGAACGUGGCUCCCCCGGGAGUGUUAUAGCCCGCCGCGCAAUGCCCUGGGGCGGACUGAGGUCCGCGCAUCGCAAGGAUGCUGGCGUAAUGGUGAUCAGCGACCCGUCUUGAAACACGGACCAAGGAGUCGUCCUCGUAUGCGAGUGUUCGGGUGUGAAACCCCUACGCGUAAUGAAAGUGAACGCAGGUGAGAGCUUCGGCGCAUCAUCGACCGAUCCUGAUGUUCUCGGAUGGAUUUGAGUAAGAGCAUACGGGGCCGGACCCGAAAGAAGGUGAACUAUGCCUGUAUAGGGUGAAGCCAGAGGAAACUCUGGUGGAGGCUCGCAGCGGUUCUGACGUGCAAAUCGAUCGUCAAAUAUGGGCAUGGGGGGCGAAAGA